RNAcentral lists this ribosomal RNA (460 nucleotides) under uncultured bacterium. RNAcentral describes it as "partial 16S ribosomal RNA". It matches the Rfam family "Bacterial small subunit ribosomal RNA", at positions 338 to 795 of the family's 1533-position model. The record is from RNAcentral.
CCUACGGGGGGCAGCAGUGAGGAAUAUUGGUCAAUGGCCGAGAGUCUGAACCAGCCAAGUAGCGUGAAGGAUGACUGCCCUAUGGGUUGUAAACUUCUUUUAUAUGGGAAUAAAAUGUUCCACGUGUGGGAUUUUGUAUGUACCAUAUGAAUAAGGAUCGGCUAACUCCGUGCCAGCAGCCGCGGUAAUACGGAGGAUCCGAGCGUUAUCCGGAUUUAUUGGGUUUAAAGGGAGCGUAGGUGGAUAGUUAAGUGAGUUGUGAAAGUUUGCGGCUCAACCGUGAAAGUGCAGCUGAAACUGGCAGUCUUGAGUACAGUAGAGGUGGGCGGAAUCCGUGGUGUAGCGGUGAAAUGCUUAGAUAUCACGAAGAACUCCGAUUGCGAAGGCAGCUCGCUGGACUGCAACUGACACUGAGGCUCGAAAGUGUGGGUAUCAAACAGGAUUAGAUACCCUAGUAGUC